Molecule: long non-coding RNA, 782 nt
Organism: Candoia aspera
Lineage: Eukaryota; Metazoa; Chordata; Lepidosauria; Squamata; Candoiidae
Exons: 3
Source: RefSeq, a predicted model, not a curated record
UUAAAGCCUUAGCACCAUUUGAUUAUAUUUUCCGCUCUCCAAGAAGGCUCUCAGUAUCAGUUGUAAGCCUUUUGUCCAGGGAAUUAAGUGGUGGUAAAUGGUGGUAAAACUUAUGAAGUCCAAUGACUUUUAUAGCCCUUUCCCCUCUCUCUCCCCCACCUGCUCCACCAUCUGGCUGUUAAGACAAGCAGCCCCAGAUGGUUGCUCUGGGCCCCCCAACUCCUUUGGCCAAAGGGUGCUGAUUCCCAGGGGGUUAAUCUCACGCGGUUCUCCCUGGCGUUCCCUCCAGGUAGGCUCCACCACUCUCGGAGGCUUUCUGUUGUAGACCGAGAUGCUGCAAUCCCAGCGUCUUCUUCCUUUGGGCUCUCUAUUAAAGGUGGAGCCUGCCAGGGAGACUCAGCUGCUGAUGCUCUCUCCCAUUUCUUGCCACUUGGACCCUGAUCUACACAUCUCCUCCUUGACCCCUGCUGCACUGAAACACCAAUAGGACAGACAGAACUUGGUAACACAAAGUUUUAAUUGCUGUAAUCAGAAGCAUUAGCAAAUUGUUCCAAACAACUCAAGCAAACAAGCAAGCUAAGCUACAUGCUAAAAGAAGGCAACUGGACUCCACCACACAACCAGAAUUCCAGCCAAUUUUACCCAAAGAAAAAUGCACUCUGGAUCCCAAUGAUGAUGAUCACCCAACCUCUUAGGUGGGCUUUGGAGAAAGCUAUCUCCAUGCACAUGUCUUAAAGGUCCAUAGUUCAAGAUAGAAAGUCAGCAAGUUUCUGACUGAACUG